This 45-nucleotide non-coding RNA is filed under the name Schistosoma margrebowiei. The record is from RNAcentral. Lineage: Eukaryota; Metazoa; Platyhelminthes; Trematoda; Strigeidida; Schistosomatidae.
ACCCAACUGAUGAGUCCCAAAUAGAACGAAACGCGCAUCCUGGAU